AAUGAACGCUGGCGGCAUGCCUAACACAUGCAAGUCGAACGAAGGCUUCGGCCUUAGUGGCGCACGGGUGCGUAACGCGUGGGAAUCUGCCCUCAGGUUCGGAAUAGCAGCGAGAAAUUGCUGCUAAUACCGGAUGACAUCGCGAGAUCAAAGAUUUAUCGCCUGAGGAUGAGCCCGCGUAGGAUUAGCUAGUUGGUGUGGUAAAGGCGCACCAAGGCGACGAUCCUUAGCUGGUCUGAGAGGAUGAUCAGCCACACCGGGACUGAGACACGGCCCAGACUCCUACGGGAGGCAGCAGUGGGGAAUAUUGGACAAUGGGCGAAAGCCUGAUCCAGCAAUGCCGCGUGAGUGAUGAAGGCCUUAGGGUUGUAAAGCUCUUUUACCCGGGAUGAUAAUGACAGUACCGGGAGAAUAAGCUCCGGCUAACUCCGUGCCAGCCGCCGCAGUAA
This 449-nucleotide ribosomal RNA is filed under the name uncultured bacterium. RNAcentral's name for it is "partial 16S ribosomal RNA". It matches the Rfam family "Bacterial small subunit ribosomal RNA", at positions 29 to 523 of the family's 1533-position model. The record is from RNAcentral.